AGCAGCAGUGGCCGGUGACAGUUCACAUCGUGGCCGCUCCAGGCUCAUCAGUUGAGAACUUACUAUGUGCUGGGCACUGUGUUAAGGAAAAUACAUAUUAGCAAACUCUUUCAACCAGCCAGUGUUGCGCUAAAGCUGCUGCUUGCCUCUUCCUUUUCAUGCUACCAAAGCGGAGUUCAGCACAACAGAAACAGAUGGACAGAAAGUUUCAGAAGACAUGGGAUUUUAAAAACCACCGAUCUGUUAGGAAACAGCCUUGUUUCCUCAUUUCCACGGAAGUAAGGGUUUAUUGGAAUCUAUGGACACCACAGAAAACCACCACUCCUGCAAUACUGUUCUGCAGGAUGACCAAGUGAACACUGCAAUUACUGGGAGGUUUUAUAGACACCAUAAAAUUGUAAAACUGCAGAGGUGAUUUCAGUAAUUUAUUGCUGGCUUCUUCAG
This 444-nucleotide long non-coding RNA is filed under the name Homo sapiens (human). RNAcentral's name for it is "HSALNT0075323". Lineage: Eukaryota; Metazoa; Chordata; Mammalia; Primates; Hominidae. The record is from RNAcentral.